GAGUAUCGCUGCAUCGUAACAAAAUGUCUUGUCAUCUUAAGAGCAAUAGCCUCUGAUAUAAACAGUCCUUCUUUCUCUUGCCAAUAAGCUUGUUCUAGCUACGGAAAAGUGUAAAAGUUCAAUGCAAAAGAGAGAGGAUCGCACACUACACUAGUCUACAAAAUAGGAGACUAAACAUUUAAAAUGAUAUUGCCUAAACGCUAUGAAUUUAGAGGAGGUUAAUUUAAAUAAAGCUGACACUUGGCAUUUUGUAACCGGAAAAUUUACCGGGUGCCAUUAUAAUGACGAACCGACUUUUACGCAUCUGCCGUUCGCUGUUUCUUUGAUUAAAACAAAACAGUUUCCUGUCAAAACAAGUCUAUUUGGCGUUUCCACGCAAAACAUGCGAAUGAACAACAGUAUGCAAGAG
Long non-coding RNA from Drosophila gunungcola (fruit fly), 409 nucleotides. RefSeq lists it as uncharacterized. The transcript is spliced from 3 exons. NCBI's taxonomy places the organism in Eukaryota, Metazoa, Arthropoda, Insecta, Diptera, Drosophilidae. The record is from RefSeq and is a predicted model, not a curated record.